RNAcentral lists this ribosomal RNA (250 nucleotides) under uncultured bacterium. Its description in RNAcentral is "partial 16S ribosomal RNA". It matches the Rfam family "Bacterial small subunit ribosomal RNA", at positions 57 to 305 of the family's 1533-position model. The record is from RNAcentral.
GCAAGUCGAACGGUAACAGGCAAAGCUUGCUUUGCGCUGACGAGUGGCGGACGGGUGAGUAACGCGUGGGAAUCUGCCUUAUAGUGGGGGAUAGCCCGGAGAAAUCCGGAUUAAUACCGCAUACGCCCUACGGGGGAAAGCUGGGGAUCUUUUGACCUGGCGCUAUUAGAUGAGCCCGCGUUAGAUUAGCUAGUUGGUGGGGUAAAGGCCUACCAAGGCGACGAUCUAUAGCUGGUCUGAGAGGACGAUC